This is a non-coding RNA of Aegilops tauschii subsp. strangulata, 1051 nucleotides long. Lineage: Eukaryota; Viridiplantae; Streptophyta; Magnoliopsida; Poales; Poaceae. The record is from RefSeq and is a predicted model, not a curated record.
CCCGAACGAACGAGACACUCGCACCACUCAUCCACUUCUCUCUCUAGCCGCUCUCCAUUCCCCAUGCCACCGUCUCCCGUCCGCUCCACGCCCCCACCUCCCCACCGCCGUCCCCAGCUCACCGGCGCUGCCCUAUCCUAUCCUCGCCGCCACGCGCAUUUGCUGCCGCGCGACGACAUCGGCGCCCUCGUAGCUGGGACUCCGCCUAGUCAACUUUGAUUGGGAGGUGGUGACGCAUCCGUACCGGCGGGGAGGUGGUGGAUGGGGCGCGGCCAUUUGCGAGCACCAGGAGCGGUGGUGGUGGCCAGGGCUGCGCCGUGUCCGGGGCAAAGUGCACCGCACUGAGGAGGCGUCGGCAUCGACGGCAGGGCGCGGAGGCGCACCUCGAUUCAGGAGACGCGCGCGCGGGAGGCGACGUUGUCGCUUGUCCAUCAAGAGCAGAUGCGGGCGGAGGCGGCGAGCGCGCUGUCGGCCACGUCGGGGACGGGAUGCCCCUCCCACUCCCACUCGCUGCGCGUCGAGCUUGACAUGGCCGCGAGCUUGCUUUCUAGGCGGGGGCUGCGGGGUGGUGCACGCCAUGGAGACCGCUGGGCUCGCCACUGAUUUUGAGCAGCGUCAUGGGAGCCAGCAAGAGACGAUUCAUCAAUUGUGUUGCUGACGAAGGAGUUGGACUAGAAGACUUUGAAGACCCAGAAGACUUUGCUGAGCCAGGCAAGCAGCCCUUUGACCAUACCGUGAAACCUUUUUAUGCAUGUCAUAUAGCACUUGUUGUUGUUGCACCGGAAUCAUGAUGGGAGGGUACCACUUUGGCAUGGAAGAGCAGGAAUUUGAGGAAGAGUUGUUCUGAGCCGAACAUGCGAACGAGGACGAUGUCCCAGUCAGAAUGCCUGUAGGGUUAAAGCAGAUUGCAUGGGUUCUACUUAUCUAUGAAGACUUCCGCUAUUUGUGUUUAUUCGAUGUUUAGCCGUGAGGCUUAUCUAUGUAAGACUUGACCAUAAUGGUCAUAAUUUGUGUAAGACGGUACGUUUGGAUGUAAGACUCUUGUUAUUCA